RNAcentral lists this ribosomal RNA (1151 nucleotides) under human gut metagenome. Its description in RNAcentral is "bacterial LSU rRNA". It matches the Rfam family "Bacterial large subunit ribosomal RNA", at positions 1287 to 2524 of the family's 2925-position model. The record is from RNAcentral.
AGUGAGAAUGCCGGAAUGAGUAGCGAGAAUUAUGUGAGAAUCAUAAUGGCCGAAAAUCUAAGGUUUUAGGAGGAAGGUUCGUCCGCUCCUAGUAAGCCGGGAGCUAAGGCGAGGCGGAAACGCGUAGCCGAUGCACAUACGGUAGAAAUUCCGUAGCCUCUGAAAGAUUUAAGCACAAGGACACUUGAGAAGCGUUUAUCCGGGAGUUGGUAUUCCCGGUCGUAAGGGACCCCGAAUGGGGGAAGUAAAUGUGGAUUGAGGCAAGAAAAGUUGUGUGAAUAUCUGAAGAGCCCGUACCGCAAACCGACACAGGUAGAUAGGAAGAGAAUUCUAAGGCCAACGGGAGAAGGGUUGUUAAGGAACUCGGCAAGUUGACUCCGUAACUUAGGGAGAAGGAGUGCUCGAAAGAGCCGCAGAGAAUAGGCCCAAGCGACUGUUUAGCAAAAACACAGCUCUAUGCUAAAUCGAAAGAUGACGUAUAUGGGGUGACACCUGCCCGGUGCUGGAAGGUUAAGAGGAGAUGUGAGAGCAUCGAAUUGAAGCCCCAGUAAACGGCGGCCGUAACUAUAACGGUCCUAAGGUAGCGAAAUUCCUUGUCAGGUAAGUUCUGACCCGCACGAAAGGUGUAACGAUCUGGGCACUGUCUCAACAACCCGCCCGGCGAAAUUGUAGUACCGGUGAAGAUGCCGGUUACCCGCGACUAGACGGAAAGACCCCAUGGAGCUUCACUGUAGCUUAAUAUUGGAUUUUGGUAUUUCAUGUACAGGAUAGGUGGGAGACUGAGAAGCAAAGGCGUCAGCUUUUGUGGAGUCGCUGUUGGGAUACCACUCUUGAAGUGCUGAAAUUCUAACCUGCGCCCUUGAAUCAGGGCGGGGGACAUUGUUAGGUGGGCAGUUUGACUGGGGCGGUCGCCUCCAAAAAGGUAACGGAGGCGCUCAAAGGUUCGUUCAGCACGGACGGAAAUCGUGCAUUGAGUGUAAACGCAUAAACGAGCCUAACUGCGAGACCGACGGGUCGAGCAGUAACGAAAGUUGGAGUUAGUGAUCCGGCGGUAUGUGAGUGGAAAUGCCGUCGCUCAACGGAUAAAAGCUACCCUGGGGAUAACAGGCUGAUCUCCCCCAAGAGUCCACAUCGACGGGGAGGUUUGGCAC